UGGUCGUUAGUGAUAUUACAUUGUUUCCUUGAGAUUUAUUGGAUUUUCUUGUGUUUAUUCUGCUCUUAUUUGGCUCAAUAUUUAAUCUGUUGUGUGCUUGCGAUUGGGUAUAUGCUUAGUUUCCUAAUCGAUGUUUAAUCUUCGCUUAGUUGAUUAAACUGUAUGGUGCAUGACUGAUUAAAUUUGUGUAUUGCAUUCGCUUAGUCUGCAAUUCUGAAGACCGAGUUACCCUUCGCUUAGUUGGGUGAUUCGUGUUGGAUUUGGAUUAGAGUAGUGUGUACUUGUCGUUAAUAUGUGAUUGGAAGCAUAGUAAUUGAGUUAAUGACCAAUCGUUUUUAUCCUGUAUUUGAUUCCGUCUUUGCAUUCCUGUUUACAUUUUGUUUCGCAUUUCUGUUUUCACAUUUCUGCUUGCAUCCGUGAUUUAAUUUAAUUCAUCAGCAUUCACAAACUUUUCACAACCC
This 461-nucleotide long non-coding RNA is filed under the name Vigna radiata. RNAcentral describes it as "long non-coding RNA (VRAD_LNC006250)". The record is from RNAcentral. Lineage: Eukaryota; Viridiplantae; Streptophyta; Magnoliopsida; Fabales; Fabaceae.